UUAAACAGGGUGAGAAGCCUCCUGGCC
Molecule: non-coding RNA, 27 nt
Filed under: Homo sapiens (human)
Lineage: Eukaryota; Metazoa; Chordata; Mammalia; Primates; Hominidae
Source: RNAcentral